Molecule: ribosomal RNA, 253 nt
Filed under: uncultured bacterium
Lineage: Bacteria
Description: partial 16S ribosomal RNA
Rfam family: Bacterial small subunit ribosomal RNA
Source: RNAcentral
UACAGAGGUCUCGAGCGUUAGUCGGAGUCACUGGGCUUAAAGCGUACGUAGGCGGAUAUGCAGGCGUCGUGUGAAAUCCCUUGGCUCAACCAAGGAACUGCACGGCGAACCGCAUGUCUUGAGAUCGGUAGGGGCGGUCGGAACGAUAGGUGGGGUGGUGAAAUGCGUUGAUAUCUGUCGGAACGCCGAAGGUGAAAGCAGGCCGCUGGGCCGAUUCUGACGCUGAGGUACGAAAGCGUGGGGAGCGAACGGG